ACAAAAUCUAGUCACAUUGCAAAAAAAAAACACUGGGAAUCUCUAGUUUCUUUUUGUUUAUUUAUAUAUUUCUAAUUUGCUGAUUAGUCAUAUAUAUAUGACCUUAUUAUUAUUAUGACGACAUUGUAUAAUUGUCUUUUUUUUAAAAGGAUAAUUUAGCUAAAUAUGGAUUAAAUGUAAAUUUUGGAGAUCACGAGGACGUUAGGAAGAGAGUAAUCCUGUUUUUAAAUUUGCGUGGUGACUGGUGAGUGAGAGUGAUAAAGCUUUUCUGAAAGUGCCAUAAAUGAGUUUUUCUUGUUUGCUCGCAAGUUUUUUUUAUUUUUUUUUGGUUAUUGACGUGAAGUAUCAUCGUCAUCAAUGAUCGGAUUGAGAAACAGUAAAGACACAAAUCUAAUAAACGGAAAGGGUUUAAUUAUCAAUGCUGAUUUUUAUGAGUGAUGGAUAAUAUUAUUAUUACAGCUUCUUUUAUAAUAGUAUAGAUAUCUCUUUUUGUAGUUUAAUACUAGUACAAUUGUAAUAAAACUUUUGACAAAAAGACAUUUAGAAUAAAAGGGUGAAUGAGAGAGUGUUGUUGAAUGAAAUUAAAAAAUAGAAGAAGAAGAAGAGUGAAGAAUGUGAACACUGGAAGAAGAAGAAGAGAGUGUGUUGUCGGAAUAAUGCGAUUCCUGGACGCCGCGUGUCUGCCAAAACUGCGUCGGUCUCUCGCGUUUCGCUUCCUUCGUUAUGUUUUUUUAAUUAAUUAUUUUAGCGUUUUCCAAUUGCUGUAAGCACUAAAGCAUGAUACUGUGCUUUUUAACGUUCUACCGACUAAGUAAUGGAGUUCAUGUACUUGUGUGGUAUAUAAUUAGUGUAAUUGGAUGGUGGAUGUGAAUAAAUAAUAAUUAUUAGUUAAAUAAAAUCUUUAAACAGUCUCUUAAUAGAAAAGUUAAAAAAGAAUUUGAGAUACUUGGAUUCUAGAAAGC
This 962-nucleotide long non-coding RNA is filed under the name Capsella rubella. RNAcentral describes it as "long non-coding RNA (CRUB_LNC004425)". The record is from RNAcentral. Lineage: Eukaryota; Viridiplantae; Streptophyta; Magnoliopsida; Brassicales; Brassicaceae.